GGGGCUUCGGCCCUGAGUAAAGCGGCGCACGGGUGAGUAACACGUGGGUAAUCUGCCCUAGAGUGGGGAAUAACACCGGGAAACCGGUGCUAAUACCGCAUACGAUCACGAUGUCUUCGGAUGUUGUGAUGAAAGGAGCAAUUCGCUCUUGGAGGAGCCCGCGGCUGAUUAGCUAGUUGGUGAGGUAAUGGCUCACCAAGGCUACGAUCAGUAUCCGGUCUGAGAGGACGGUCGGACACACUGGAACUGAGACACGGUCCAGACUCCUACGGGAGGCAGCAGUGGGGAAUUUUUCGCAAUGGGGGCAACCCUGACGAAGCAACGCCGCGUGGAUGAUGAAGUCUCUUGGGACGUAAAAUCCUUUCGACGGGGACGAAACCGCAAGGUUGACGGUACCCGUAGAAGAAGCCCCGGCUAACUCCGUGCCAGCAGCCGCGGUAAUACGGGGGGGGCGAGCGUUGUUCGGAAUUACUGGGCGUAAGGGGCGCGUAGGCGGUCCGCUAAGUUGAAUGUGAAAACUCUGGGCUUAACUCAGAGCCUGCAUUCAAUACUGGCGGGCUAGAGUUCUGGAGGGGAUAGCGGAAUUCCUGGUGUAGCGGUGAAAUGCGUAGAUAUCAGGAGGAACACCGGUGGCGAAGGCGGCUAUCUGGACAGAGUCUGACGCUGAGGCGCGAAAGCUAGGGGAGCAAACAGGAUUAGAUACCCUGGUAGUCCUAGCCCUAAACGAUGGAUACUUGCUGUGACUGGGAUUGAAUCCAGUCGUGGCGAAGCUAACGCAUUAAGUAUCCCGCCUGGGGAGUACGGUCGCAAGGCUG
Molecule: ribosomal RNA, 815 nt
Filed under: uncultured Bacillota bacterium
Lineage: Bacteria; Bacillati; Bacillota
Description: bacterial SSU rRNA
Rfam family: Bacterial small subunit ribosomal RNA
Source: RNAcentral